GACAGAGGUGCCGAGCGUUAGGCGAAAUCACUGGGCUUAAAGCGCGUGUAGGCGGGUCCGUAAGUGCCUUGUGAAAUCCCACGGCUCAACCGUGGAACUGCUGGGCAUACUGCGGGUCUUGGGCCAUCUAGGGGCGAGCGGAACAAGCGGUGGAGCGGUGAAAUGCGUAGAUAUCGCUUGGAACGCCAAUGGUGAAAACAGCUCGCUGGGGAUGUGCCGACGCUGAGACGCGAAAGCCAGGGGAGCGAACGGG
RNAcentral lists this ribosomal RNA (253 nucleotides) under uncultured bacterium. RNAcentral's name for it is "partial 16S ribosomal RNA". It matches the Rfam family "Bacterial small subunit ribosomal RNA", at positions 524 to 776 of the family's 1533-position model. The record is from RNAcentral.